Molecule: small RNA, 28 nt
Filed under: Bombyx mori (domestic silkworm)
Lineage: Eukaryota; Metazoa; Arthropoda; Insecta; Lepidoptera; Bombycidae
Description: ovarian small RNA-12335
Source: RNAcentral
AUAAUUACUAACGUGCUGUUUCGUAAAC